Molecule: long non-coding RNA, 286 nt
Filed under: Salmo salar (Atlantic salmon)
Lineage: Eukaryota; Metazoa; Chordata; Actinopteri; Salmoniformes; Salmonidae
Description: lncRNA (ENSSSAG00000105706.1)
Source: RNAcentral
GGAUGGGAGGUUGGGGGUAGGUGGUGGUUGUCUGCUGGUUCUGAGUGUGGGAGGAUGGGAGGAUGGGGGGUAGGUGGUGGUUGUCUGCUGGUUCUGAGUGUGGGAGGGUGGGAGGAUGGGUGGUAGGUGGUGGUUGUCUGCUGGUUCUGAGUGAGGGAGGAUGGAUGGUAGGUGGUGGUUGUCUGCUGGUUCUGAGUGUGGGAGGAUGGGGGAUAGGUGGUGGUUGUCUGCUGGUUCUGAGUGUGGGAGGAUGUGAGGAUGGGGGGUAGGUGGUGGUUGUCUGCUG